CCCUUAGAUGUCCUGGGCUGCACGCGCGCUACACUGAUGUGUCCAGUAAGCACCUAACCUCUUCCGAAAGGAACGGGUAACCUUUGCAAAGCACAUCGUGAUGGGGAUAGAUUAUUGCAAUUAUUAGUCUUGAACGAGGAAUUCCUAGUAAGCACAAGUCAUCAGCUUGUGUUGAUUACGUCCCUGCCCUUUGUACACACCGCCCGUCGCUCCUACCGAUUGAAUGUUCCGGUGAGCUCUUCGGACUGCGCGGUCUGCAGUUUCUGCGUUCCGUGCGGAAAGUUGCGCAAACCUUAACAUUUAGAGGAAGGAGAAAUCGUAACA
This 324-nucleotide ribosomal RNA is filed under the name uncultured eukaryote. Its description in RNAcentral is "partial 18S ribosomal RNA". It matches the Rfam family "Eukaryotic small subunit ribosomal RNA", at positions 1470 to 1796 of the family's 1831-position model. The record is from RNAcentral.